This 429-nucleotide ribosomal RNA is filed under the name Actinomycetes bacterium. RNAcentral's name for it is "Actinobacteria bacterium partial 16S ribosomal RNA". It matches the Rfam family "Bacterial small subunit ribosomal RNA", at positions 355 to 776 of the family's 1533-position model. Lineage: Bacteria; Bacillati; Actinomycetota; Actinomycetes. The record is from RNAcentral.
UAGGGAAUCUUCCGCAAUGGGCGAAAGCCUGACGGAGCAACGCCGCGUGAGUGAUGAAGGUCUUCGGAUCGUAAAACUCUGUUAUUAGGGAAGAACAAAUGUGUAAGUAACUAUGCACGUCUUGACGGUACCUAAUCAGAAAGCCACGGCUAACUACGUGCCAGCAGCCGCGGUAAUACGUAGGUGGCAAGCGUUAUCCGGAAUUAUUGGGCGUAAAGCGCGCGUAGGCGGUUUUUUAAGUCUGAUGUGAAAGCCUACGGCUCAACCGUGGAGGGUCAUUGGAAACUGGAAAACUUGAGUGCAGAAGAGGAAAGUGGAAUUCCAUGUGUAGCGGUGAAAUGCGCAGAGAUAUGGAGGAACACCAGUGGCGAGGGCGACUUUCUGGUCUGUAACUGACGCUGAUGUGCGAAAGCGUGGGGAUCAAACAGG